UGAAAUUACAGGUGUAUUCCUUUUCCCCUACAUUAUGUGUAUAUUGUACCCCAUGGAAGAAAAUGGACUUUUUGAGGGGAAGGACUAUUUUCCUUUGAUCUGUCAAUUUCUAGUUCCUAUCACAGUUGUAGGAUAUUUUUAUUGUUGAGGAUAAUUGUAUUGUAGGCUUUCAAUAAAUGCCUGUUCAUUAAUUCAUUUGUAGAUCCAUAAAUCCAUACAGCCCUUCACAACAAGUUGGUACCAUCCCAUUGGGAGAGGAAGAGCUGGGGGCUGGCUAUAAGGCUGCUUACUCCCCGGGAACCAUGAGCAUGAAGCUUACUCAGCAUUUCUGCGUCAUCAGGGCAUUCACAAACUGCCAGGGUGAAAAGCUUUGGAAAACUGGAAGAGCCACCAGAAGCCCAGCAAUUGGAGUUCACAGCAACUGUUUAGAGCCAGCCUUGAGGAGAAAAGUGCCUGAUUCAGCAGAGAAGAUCAAUUGGACAAUCUAUACACUCUUUUCUGGGAUGUACAGGGUAUUCAGAGAAGACUAACACCUCUAGUGCGAGGACUUUCUGGGCCUUUACAGGGUUGCUCAACCACCUUUGGUGUCCACUCAGCUCUUACUUAUGGCUCCAAGAUGCUGUAGCAUGCACAGUGACCAUGCUCUGGUAAAACUGUCUUGGCAGAUGGGUUAAACCAGGUUGAAAAUAACCAGCAAUCUUCUAACCCAUUGGUGAGUUAGGGGGUGUCUACCCCAGGCAUGUGAAGACACUCCCCCAUCAGAAGGGGAAAGAGAACAAUUCAUUCCAGUGACCAGGAAGGGGGCUGAAGUAGGUACUGUGAAAAGCUAAGAGUUUAGUCAGACAUCAAAGAAAGGUCAUCCACUGAAUCCUGGUCAUCACCAGUUGUCUUGGACUUUUGUCUUGCCACUGGACUUGGAUGAGUCUGGAAGAAAGAGUGAAGCUGAUGACUUUGUGCAACUCUGUCUCACUUAAAUCCGAUUCAUACACAAGUCAGAAUGGACCCCCAUGAAAGAAUGAAUGACAGUCUAUUAUGCAAGCAAUGAAGGGACUCAUCUAUUGACCCUGCCACAUGCUCAGAAGUGAACUUGGUGGGGGAAAUAGUCUUCUCCUUUAAGUGUGGGCAUCCUUUCUAGGAACAGCAGUGUGAAAGAAAAGUGGGCUCCUACUUAGGAAGUUUAUAUAUAUUUAGUUCUUGCUAUAUAUUUUUAAUGUUUAAAAAAAUUCCCAAUUACAUGUAAUAACAAUUUUCAACAUAUGUUUUCCCAAACCAUAAGAUCUAAAUUGCCUCCUUUUCUCCCUUCCUUCUCCCUCCUGGAGAUGGUAAACAAGGUUAUAUCCUCUUAGUAAAUAUUCAUUUGUAAAAGCUAAUUGAUAUUAACUGGUUAGUUGAUAUUGGGGAGAGUUCGACUGAUCAAAAUGAUAUUGUAGUGACGGAUAUUGGGGGAGCUGGAGAGUAACCAAUAGAGCAACAUUAGAAAGAAGAAGAGAGCCAAGAUGGCAGAGUAGAAGGAAAUGAUGUAGCUGAGCU
This 1530-nucleotide long non-coding RNA is filed under the name Monodelphis domestica (gray short-tailed opossum). Its description in RNAcentral is "lncRNA (ENSMODG00000051493.1)". The record is from RNAcentral. Lineage: Eukaryota; Metazoa; Chordata; Mammalia; Didelphimorphia; Didelphidae.